RNAcentral lists this transfer-messenger RNA (401 nucleotides) under Legionellaceae. RNAcentral's name for it is "Legionella_A septentrionalis Standard tmRNA". It matches the Rfam family "transfer-messenger RNA". Rfam says of the family: Bacterial tmRNA, also known as 10Sa RNA or SsrA, is named for its dual tRNA and mRNA-like properties. Its role is to liberate the mRNA from a stalled ribosome. Lineage: Bacteria; Pseudomonadati; Pseudomonadota; Gammaproteobacteria; Legionellales. RNAcentral also lists the same sequence under 1 other name. The record is from RNAcentral.
GGGGGCGACCUGGCUUCGACGCGGGUUGCGAAACCUGAAGUGCAUGCCGAGAAUGAGAUCUCUCGCAAAACAGACUCACUUAAAUAUAAAUGCAAACGAUGAAAACUUUGCUGGUGGAGAAGCUAUCGCUGCGUAAGCUCGAUAGAGUCGCCAUCGACCGUGCGCUGCCAUAAAACCAGCGCCCCGUUGACCGAGCUUGCUUGUCGGUAUCGAAUCAACGGUCAUAGAAGAUAAGCUAGUGGCUUGAUUUGUCCCGAAUCAAGUUGCGAAAUCCAGGGACUCGCCGUGAAUCAUCCUGCCAGUCGGAGGAGACACGGUUAAAACCAAAAGACCGGGCUAAGCAUGUAGACCUAAGGGCAGAGGAUUUGCGGACGCGGGUUCGAUUCCCGCCGCCUCCACCA